Non-coding RNA from Pelobates cultripes (western spadefoot toad), 258 nucleotides. The record is from the annotation of a GenBank genome assembly. NCBI's taxonomy places the organism in Eukaryota, Metazoa, Chordata, Amphibia, Anura, Pelobatidae.
UGCAGAGUAGCUGUUGCGCAGGAACUUUGUUAAAUCUAGAGAACCUCGGGCAAAUUGCACAUCCCCGUGGUGGCGACUUUGCAUGCGGAUGUCAUCCAUAUCAACUUUCAAUGCCAGCUUAUGUGCCUACCAUGGUGACCACGGGUAAUGGGGAAUCAGGGUUUAAUUUUGUACAGGGACCCUGAGAAACGGCUACCACAUGCAAGGAAGGCAGCAGGCGCCCAAAUGACCCACUCCCGACGCGGGAAGGUAGUGAUG